CUUUACUAUAGCCUGGAAUUGUGUCCGGGCUUCGCUUACGCAGGAUAGGUGGGAGGCUUGGAAGUUUUGCUUGUGGGCAGGAUGGAGCCAACGGUGAGAUACCACUUUAGCGAGGCUAGAAUUCUAACCUUGACCCGUCAACCGGGUGAGAGACAGUUUCAGGGGGGUAGUUUGACUGGGGCGGUCGCCUCCUAAAGGGUAACGGAGGCGCGCAAAGGUUCCCUCAGGCUGGUUGGAAAUCAGCCAUAGAGUGCAAAGGCAGAAGGGAGCUUGACUGCAAGACCUACAAGUCGAGCAGGGUGGAAACACGGUCUUAGUGAUCCGACGGUGCCGCAUGGAAGGGCCGUCGCUCAACGGAUAAAAGUUA
Molecule: ribosomal RNA, 367 nt
Filed under: uncultured organism
Description: bacterial LSU rRNA
Rfam family: Bacterial large subunit ribosomal RNA
Source: RNAcentral